CUCUCAACUUCUACAACACAUAUACUAAAAUUGGAACCUUAUAGAGAAGAUUAGCAUGAGCUUUGCACAAAGGUACCAUUCAUAUUCAUGAAGUGUUCCAUAUUUUU
RNAcentral lists this small nuclear RNA (107 nucleotides) under Dasypus novemcinctus (nine-banded armadillo). Lineage: Eukaryota; Metazoa; Chordata; Mammalia; Cingulata; Dasypodidae. The record is from RNAcentral.